This 115-nucleotide transfer-messenger RNA is filed under the name Candidatus Dormiibacterota bacterium. Its description in RNAcentral is "partial transfer-messenger RNA". It matches the Rfam family "transfer-messenger RNA", at positions 256 to 374 of the family's 374-position model. Rfam says of the family: Bacterial tmRNA, also known as 10Sa RNA or SsrA, is named for its dual tRNA and mRNA-like properties. Its role is to liberate the mRNA from a stalled ribosome. Lineage: Bacteria; Bacillati; Candidatus Dormiibacterota. The record is from RNAcentral.
UCGGCGGAGCUCGUCCGGAGGCGCCGUCGCGGCGAGAUCAAAAUCUGGGCUACACACGUAGAGGUCUUGUGGGACGCGUCUUCGGACCCGGGUUCGAUUCCCGGCGCCUCCACCA